AACUCGACUGCACGAAGACUGGAAUCGCUAGUAAUCGCGGAUCAGCACGCCGCGGUGAAUACGUUCCCGGGCCUUGUACACACCGCCCGUCACACCAUGGAAGUCUGCAAUGCCCGAAGCCGGUGGCCUAACCACUUAUGUGGAAGGAGCCGUCUAAGGCAGGGCAGAUGACUGGGGUGAAGUCGUAACAAGGUACC
Molecule: ribosomal RNA, 197 nt
Filed under: uncultured bacterium
Lineage: Bacteria
Description: partial 16S ribosomal RNA
Rfam family: Bacterial small subunit ribosomal RNA
Source: RNAcentral